AGAGCGAACGCUGGCGGCAGGCCUAACACAUGCAAGUCGAGCGCCCGUAGCAAUACGGGAGCGGCAGACGGGAUAGUAACACGUGGGAACGCGCCCUUCGGUUCGGAAUAACUCAGGGAAACUUGAGCUAAUACCGGGUACGCCCUUACGGGGAAAGAUUUAUUGCCGAAGGAACGGCCCGCGUCCGAUUAGCUAGUUGGUGAGGUAAUGGCUCACCAAGGCGACGAUCGGUAGCUGGUCUGAGAGGAUGACCAGCAUCACUGGGACUGAGACACGGCCCAGACUCCUACGGGAGGCAGCAGUGGGGAAUAUUGGACAAUGGGCGCAAGCCUGAUCCAGCCAUGCCGCGUGGAUGAUGAAGGCCUUAGGGUUGUAAAGUCCUUUUAACGGGAAGAUAAUGACGGUACCGUAGAAUAAGCCCGGCUAACUUCGUGCCAGCAGCCGC
This 445-nucleotide ribosomal RNA is filed under the name uncultured bacterium. Its description in RNAcentral is "SSU rRNA". It matches the Rfam family "Bacterial small subunit ribosomal RNA", at positions 26 to 518 of the family's 1533-position model. The record is from RNAcentral.